This 252-nucleotide ribosomal RNA is filed under the name uncultured bacterium. RNAcentral describes it as "partial 16S ribosomal RNA". It matches the Rfam family "Bacterial small subunit ribosomal RNA", at positions 524 to 775 of the family's 1533-position model. The record is from RNAcentral.
UACAGAGGUCCCAAGCGUUGUUCGGAUUCACUGGGCGUAAAGGGUGCGCAGGCGGUUUGUCGCGUCUGCCGUGAAAGUCCGGGGCUCAACUCCGGAUCUGCGGUGGGUACGGGCAGACUAGAGUGAUGUAGGGGAGACUGGAAUUCCCAGUGUAGAGGUGAAAUUCGUAGAUAUUGGGAAGAACACCGGUGGCGAAGGCGGCUCUCUGGACCGAUACUGACGCUGAGGCGCGAAAGCGUGGGGAGCAACAGG